GCUGCUGGAGGCGUUCAGAGCGCGGAGGCCCCAGGCGCGGGCCGGGCUCUCUCCCGCCUCCUCAGGCCCGGGGGUGCUGGAGCUGCCGAGGUGGGGGCUCAUCUUUGGGAGACAGGUGGGGAGUGUGAGAGACCGCGCAGCGGCGACAGGGCCGGGCGUGCCUGUGUGACGUGGGUGCAGCUGUGGGACUGUGAGGGGUGCGUGGUCGACCUUGCGUAACCUGGAUGUGCAGUGCGUGUCCUUUGCAAAGCGUGCGUUGCUGUGGCUCCGUGGCGUCAGCAACCCUUCCCUGCUGUUUCCUUUGUCCUCCUCUCAGUCAAGUAUGACUGCCACAGAGAAAUGGUCCCAUCCAGGAAAUCAGAUAUUGAGUCCUACCUGAGUUUCCAGCAAGAAGUGUCUUUGCUCAGUUCAAAAGCCACAGAAGAAGUUCUGGACGAUGUGGGCCUUCAAUCUUCUAAGAUGGGAAUAGAAAGAAGAGGAUCUACCCAGACCAGGACCCUGCUGCCCAAUCUCAGCUCUGGCUUUCUGGAUCUGUGCUUCUCUGGUAGAGGAACCCUGAGGACUGAUCUACUCUUGCAGUUCUAAAACCAUGGCCCAUGCCUCGCUAUUCCCUGGGACACAACAAUAUUGAACGUAGGCUAGUUAAUAGCCCUACAAUCUCCUCUAAGUGUUCGAGUGAAAGGAAGAGUCACAUGUGUCUCACUUUAAACCAAAAGCUAGAAAUGAUUAAACUUAGUGAGGAAAGCAUGUUGAAAGUCCAGACAGGCUGGAAGCGAGGUCUCCUGUGCCAAACAGCAGGCCAAGUUGCACAUGCAAAGGAAAUGUUCUCGAAGCAAAUUAAAAGUAUUACUCCAGUGAACACACAAUGACAAGAAAGCGAAACAGUUUUAUUGCUGAUGUGGAGAAAGUUUUAGUGGUCUGGAUAGAAGAUCAAACCAGCCACAACGUUCUGUUAAGCCUAAACCUAAUCCAGAGCAAGGCCCUAAUGCUCUUCAAUUCUAUGGAGGCUGAGAGUUGAGGAAGCUGUGGAAGAAAAGUUUGAAGCUAGCAGAGAAUAAUUCAUG
Molecule: long non-coding RNA, 1064 nt
Filed under: Homo sapiens (human)
Lineage: Eukaryota; Metazoa; Chordata; Mammalia; Primates; Hominidae
Description: HSALNT0397869
Source: RNAcentral